AUCCAUGUGGGAGCUGGCUUGCCUGCGAUAGCGGUCUGUCAGCCAACACCGCUAUCGCACGCAAGCCAGCUCCCACAGUAGA
Molecule: unclassified non-coding RNA, 82 nt
Filed under: Pseudomonas synxantha
Lineage: Bacteria; Pseudomonadati; Pseudomonadota; Gammaproteobacteria; Pseudomonadales; Pseudomonadaceae
Source: RNAcentral